GACAGUGUGGCUCUAGUGGUAAGAGCGUCUGCCUACUGAGUAUGAGGCUCUGAGUUCAAAUCUCAGCACCCUCU
This 74-nucleotide transfer RNA is filed under the name Dipodomys ordii (Ord's kangaroo rat). It matches the Rfam family "tRNA". Rfam says of the family: Transfer RNA (tRNA) molecules are approximately 80 nucleotides in length. Their secondary structure includes four short double-helical elements and three loops (D, anti-codon, and T loops). The record is from Rfam by way of RNAcentral. Lineage: Eukaryota; Metazoa; Chordata; Mammalia; Rodentia; Heteromyidae.